This 253-nucleotide ribosomal RNA is filed under the name uncultured bacterium. RNAcentral's name for it is "partial 16S ribosomal RNA". It matches the Rfam family "Bacterial small subunit ribosomal RNA", at positions 524 to 776 of the family's 1533-position model. The record is from RNAcentral.
UACGAAGGGGGCUAGCGUUGUUCGGAAUCACUGGGCGUAAAGGGCGCGUAGGCGGCUUUAUAAGUCGGGGGUGAAAGCCUGUGGCUCAACCACAGAAUUGCCUUCGAUACUGUAGAGCUUGAGACCGGAAGAGGUAAGUGGAACUGCGAGUGUAGAGGUGAAAUUCGUAGAUAUUCGCAAGACCACCAGUGGCGAAGGCGGCUUACUGGUCCGGUUCUGACGCUGAGGCGCGAAAGCGUGGGGAGCAAACAGG